GUAAGUACACGUAUCUCGGCUACUAUAUAGUAGGUAAGUACACGUAUCUCGGCUACUAUAUAGUAGGUAAGUACACGUAUCUCGGCUACUAUAUAGUAGGUAAGUACACGUAUCUCGGCUACUAUAUAGUAGGUAAGUACACGUAUCUCGGCUACUAUAUAGUAGGUAAGUACACGUAUCUCGGCUACUAUAUAGUAGGUAAGUACGCGGUUUGGGACGCAGCCCACAGCUUCAAGCAGUCGUCUAUUUGCACGUACAGCAUGACAAAUAAUUAACCGCACUUGAAGCGUCCGUAGAAUUUAAAAUGAAACACCCGAAACUGUAUACGGGACCAUAACGAAGACCGACUGUAUGUGGACGUGAAAUUCUGGAGGGAACGGUGUGGCGUGGGGACGUAAUGACGUGUGAUUUUAAUCGCUCCAUGAUCUAUAGCAUGUAAAACCUGAACAUGGAAGGAGUAUUCUAAACGCGACUCAUGUAAACACCUUAAUCACAAUAUAGUCUUACUCAGAGUAAGGUCAGUAAUUAGAUCACCGCUGUCCAUGUAAACAGAGCGUCGGGUGUCGGAGCUUCGUAACAGUCACAGUGCUUUCUGUAGUUUCUCAUCACAGGAAAGUCUUCCGGAGAGUGGAUUUUCCACUUUCCACUUAGUUUUGUAAAAUGCCAUCCUUUUUUAAAAAUUUUUUUUAGUCCUAUUAACUCUGUCCAUACAGGAUUUCACAGAGUUUAUUAAUAUUUUUUUGUGAUCGUUGCAGCCAAAAAUGCUUGAUUUUGCUGCGGGUUUUUUCAAAAUUUGUGAUACAGUUUGCAGAGUUUUUGUGCUUUUUUUUUGUGUGGAAAACUAUUGAAUUGCACGAAAUUGCCUUUCACAGUGAUGGUUAUUGGGUAAAUGAGACCUUUUAGCUGUAAUAAUGUUCAAUGCAUGUGACUUGAAAAGGGUUCUGGCUGAAUGCGCGUUGUGAUGACGUCGCACCUUCACCCAAAUCUGCAGAAAAUCUGUUGUAAUUUUGAAAAAUUGCAAGCUCCUAAAAAUAUUAUGGAGUUUCCUUGGGUUUGUGUAAAUUUCAGCGAUCGCAAAAUCCCGGCGUGACCGAUGAACUGUUUAUUGUUGUUGUUGUUGUUGUUGUUGUUGUUGUUAUUGCUGCGUUUGACUAGCUUUGGGAGUGGGAGGCUGGAACUGGGAAUGACGUCAUUUUGGACGAGUUCCUGAGAAGGAGUUCUUGUCUCAUUAACUAUAAACUGCUGAAAACCUGACGUGUUGUUGUUUUUUAAGAAAUGAAACAUUGUCCACGGCGACACAUCAGUAUUUAUGUAUGCAUAAUAUGACCUGAAGCGUAGCAUACAAUCCCGGAGUGCAUCACGCCAUCCCGGAGUAUAAUAUUUUCAUAUAAUGGCGGAGUCCAUUGUGUGCUAUUGCUUACAUAAGUGCUAAAUUGACCAUGCAACUGUAAGUGUAUGUAUGUAACAUGUAUGACGGUUUCAUUUGAAUAUGUAUUUUUCCCUCUGUGAUGUGCCAAGGAUGCGCCGUCACCUUGUUUUGAACUCAUCUUUUGUGACUAUAAUUGCAGGAAGAAAAUUCGAGUCUGUUGGCAUGACUGUCCCGACUGACGUUAACACGUACUCACUUGGAAAAAACAAAAACCCCUAAGCUCUGAGGAGAAUCCACUAGUUUGGUAUGGAAAUCCGUCUGCAUGCCAGUGUAGACUCCCUGUCCACUUUAAGAGGAACACGUGUACACCUGCUCAUUCGUGCAGUUAUCUAAUCAGCCAAUCAUGCAGCAGCAGCACAGUGUGGAGAAUCAAACAGAACAAGCACUUCAGGUAAUGUUCACGAUGGGGAAAAUUUAACCGUGGCAUGGUGGGUUUUUUUUCUUUUUUUUUUUUCUUUUUCUUGCCAGGGCUGGUAUGAGUAUUUCAGGUAUUUCUCUAGGGUCUACACAGAAUGGUGCAAAAAACAAAAAGCACAGAGCGAGCGACAGUUCUGUGGGUGGAAACGCCUGGUUGAUGAGAGAGGUCGGAGAAAAAUGACCAGACUGGUUCAAGCUGCCUGGAAGGAUAUAAUGACUCAUAUAGUCACUCUUUACAACCAUGGUGAUCGGAAAAGCAUCUCAGCAUGCACAAAACACUGCGUUCCUCUCCUAUCAGCCAAGAACAGGAACCUGAGGCUAUCAGGAGUGGAACCUGAUGUGGUCUUGUGCUGUUGUAGCUCAUCCACCUCACGGUUUGGUGUGUUCUGAGAUGCUUUUCUGUUCACCGUGGUUGCAAAGAGUGCUUAUUUGAGUUACUCUAGAAUUCCCGUCAACUCGGACCAUUCUCUCUCAUCAUCAGGGUGUUUCUUCCUGCAGACGCUCCACUCGCCGGAGACUGCUGUAUGGGAAAAUCCCAGGAGAUCAGCAGUUUCUGAAAUACUCAAACCAGCCCAUCUGGCAACCAGAGAACCAUGCCGUGGAUAAAGUCACAGAGAUCACAUUUUUUUCUUCGUUUUGAUGUUUGACGUGAACAUUUAAGUGAAACUCUCGACCUGUAUUUCUGAAAUUUUUGCUACCGAGCAAAAAAAACAAAACUCCACUCCACUCUUUAGAUCACAUGUGAGAAAUAUAAUGCUGUAAGAUUUUGUGUAAAUAGCCCAACUGGGUCAGUCACGAUUGUUGUUUCCUAGCCCAGAAUAAUUGCAGCUGAAUUUAGCGCCCCCCGUCCGUCCUAACCAUCGUUCGAGCGCUAGGUCUGAGAUUAAGGAUGAGUAGUAAUGUAGUUUAUCCGAUGCUGCGGUGAAUCUCAUCUCGAGCGUGUCUCUUUCUAAAAAAGAAGGGAAGGAGAGAAUAAAAAGACCUUGCAGAAUUUGUGUAUUCUAUUUUAAAAAGUACAUUAUGUCUGAGAAGUCAGGCUGCAUGGUGUAACCGGAGCCAGGACUUUCUGCUGAAGCGAAGGGCGGGAGCGUAGAACGAAACAGUCGAAAAUAGGCACAGUCGAGCAAAGUGUAGGAGGAGAGGGUUAGCAGUCGCACUGCUGGGAGAGACAGUCUUUCUUUAUCUCUCUCUGUGUUUCUCUCUCUAUCUAUCUAUGUCUCUGUAUCUCUCUCUAUAUAUCUAUCUCUGUGUAUCUCUAUCUAUCUCUUGCACACAGUAUGGCGUGGAGUGCAGCAGUAAUGGCAAGUGUGUAAUUUUACACGUGACUAACACGGGAAGUGGAAAUACAUGUGUAACUGUACAUCAUAUUGUCAGUGUAUUCCUUCCUUCCCUCCCUCCGAGGAGAAUACACGAGAUCACGUUAUACUCUGCAGCUAUCAUUAUUGGAAGUUGUGUGAUGUUUGAUCAGGAAUUUAAUUCGUAAUUCUGCCAAACGCCCAUUCUAACUAGGGAUGAGUGAUAUCUUAUCGUUUGCGAUAUACCGGUAGAAAUUCUCCCUGCAGUAAGAAUUAGUCUACGCACGAUAAUAACGAUGAAGCCCAGUCGAUGAGGUAUUGGUGUGCGAGACCCGUUCGCAGCUCACGUGCAGAGCGAACAGGAGUAUGGCGGAAGGUGGACGUGAAGCCGAGGAGGAGUUUAUCGCUAAACG
This is a long non-coding RNA of Ictalurus punctatus (channel catfish), 3554 nucleotides long. The record is from Ensembl. Lineage: Eukaryota; Metazoa; Chordata; Actinopteri; Siluriformes; Ictaluridae.